RNAcentral lists this long non-coding RNA (286 nucleotides) under Zostera marina. Its description in RNAcentral is "long non-coding RNA (ZMAR_LNC001498)". The record is from RNAcentral. Lineage: Eukaryota; Viridiplantae; Streptophyta; Magnoliopsida; Alismatales; Zosteraceae.
CUGCUGGAACUUCGCGUGCUUCCCGCGUGCAAGGUACGACCGUCGCUCCCGCUGCCGUCGCUGAUCCAACGCCCCUUCCGAGGCGCCGCCGGCCGCGAGGUCCUCGUCGCUCCCGCGGGUCUUCGUCCCUCCCGGCCUAUGACCUGCGCCACUUUCUGUCGGGAUCCUCGAAGCCAGCCCCUUAAGUUCGUCCGGGGGGCGUCCGCGACCGCGACCACGCUCAUCCGGGCCGUGGAUCCGCCUCCAUGGGACGACGUCUGGGGCGCGCCUCGUUCAACUUCUCUCC